CCCGUCACCGACAACGCAGUGGUCGUCAAGAAAGUCCCAGUCGUUCCCGUCACCGACAGCGUAGUGGUCGUCAAAAAAGUCCCGGUCGUUCCCGUCACCGACAGUGCAGUGACCGUUAAAAAAGUCCCGGUUGUACCCGUCACGGACAACGCAGUGGUUGUCAAAAAAGUACCGGUUGUACCAGUCACCGAUAGCGAAGUGGUCGUCAAGAAAGUCCCAGUUGUACCCGUCACGGACAACGCAGUGGUCGUCAAAAAAGUACCGGUUGUACCAGUCACUGGCAGUGAAGUGGUAGUCGAGAAAGGACCAGCUGCUCAAGGGAUGUGGAAACAUUGAUAGGACACUGGCCCCUAACCUACCAGCUCGUUAGGCAUGCUUCUUCCAAUGACGCUGAUGGUAAUGGCUGGUGAAGGUAGUGGUCAGAGAGCGGUACAUGGUCCUUGGUGGUUGAUAACUGCAGCUAAAGCUAGCAUGGACUUGGUACUGUAGUAGGCUUAUAUCAUCAGUAUGAUGUUGUUUUUUAUUUGUCUAUGCAUUUAUUUUUUCCUAGGCAUGUUCUUGUUGUGGAGUUGUGCUCUUUUAUUUCCUAGGUUUUCGUAAGAGUGGAAUUUAUUUCUUCACGCUAUUGCCAGAUGAGUUUGUACUUUGUACCAAUUCAGUUGUUAAUCAAUGAAGCAGAUACUACUAGCACGCACAAAAA
This is a long non-coding RNA of Papaver somniferum (opium poppy), 700 nucleotides long. RefSeq lists it as uncharacterized. The record is from RefSeq and is a predicted model, not a curated record. NCBI's taxonomy places the organism in Eukaryota, Viridiplantae, Streptophyta, Magnoliopsida, Ranunculales, Papaveraceae. The transcript has 2 exons.